AGUGGCGAACGGGUGCGUAACGCGUGGGAACCUGCCCUUAGGUUCGGAAUAACAGUUAGAAAUGACUGCUAAUGCCGGAUAAUGUCUUCGGACCAAAGAUUUAUCGCCUUUGGAUGGGCCCGCGUAGGAUUAGGUAGUUGGUGUGGUAAUGGCGCACCAAGCCGACGAUCCUUAGCUGGUCUGAGAGGAUGAUCAGCCACACUGGGACUGAGACACGGCCCAGACUCCUACGGGAGGCAGCAGUAGGGAAUAUUGGACAAUGGGCGAAAGCCUGAUCCAGCAAUGCCGCGUGAGUGAUGAAGGCCUUAGGGUUGUAAAGCUCUUUUACCAGGGAUGAUAAUGACAGUACCUGGAGAAUAAGCUCCGGCUAACUCCGUGCCAGCAGCCGCGGUAAUACGGAGGGAGCUAGCGUUGUUCGGAAUUACUGGGCGUAAAGCGCGCGUAGGCGGCUUUUCAAGUCAGGGGUGAGAUCCCGGGGCUCAACCCCGGAACUGCCCUUGAAACUGGAUGGCUAGAAUACUGGAGAGGUGGGUGGAAUUCCGAGUGUAGAGGUGAAAUUCGUAGAUAUUCGGAAGAACACCAGUGGCGAAGCGACUCACUGGACAGUUAUUGACGCUGAGUGCGAAAGCGUGGGGAGCAAACAGGAUUAGAUACCCUGUAGUCCACGCCGA
This 671-nucleotide ribosomal RNA is filed under the name uncultured bacterium. Its description in RNAcentral is "bacterial SSU rRNA". It matches the Rfam family "Bacterial small subunit ribosomal RNA", at positions 94 to 803 of the family's 1533-position model. The record is from RNAcentral.